ACUUGUGCUUCAUACGGGUAGUACAACUAUAAUUGUAGUUUGUACUGUACCUUAUGUAUGUAAGCGUAUUACCGGUGGAGUUCUUAUAUAUGUUAAAUACUUGUAUUUUUCAUAUAUUCCUCCUAUUUAAACCUGCUUCAGUGCUCUUCAUCGAGUGUUGUUGUGGGCCGGUACAAUUACUUUGAACAAAUUAGAGUGCUUAAAGCAGGCUCCAAAUGCCUGAAUAUUUUGUGCAUGGAAUAAUGAAAUAAGACCUCUGUUCUACUUUCAUUGGUUUUUAGAUCAAGAGGUAAUGAUUAAUAGAAGCAGUUUGGGGGCAUUAGUAUUACGACGCGAGAGGUGAAAUUCUUGGACCGUCGUAAGACUAACUUAAGCGAAAGCAUUUGCCAAAGAUGUUUUCAUUAAUCAAGAACGAAAGUUAGAGGUUCGAAGGCGAUCAGAUACCGCCCUAGUUCUAACCAUAAACGAUGCCAGCUAGCAAUUGGGUGUAGCUACUCUCAUGGCUCUCUCAGUCGCUUCCCGGGAAACCAAAGCUUUUGGGCUCCGGGGGAAGUAUGGUUGCAAAGCUGAAACUUAAAGGAAUUGACGGAAGGGCACCACCAGGAGUGGAGCCUGCGGCUUAAUUUGACUCAACACGGGAAAACUUACCAGGUCCGAACAUAAGCGUGUAAGACAGAUUGAUAGCUCUUCUCGAAUCUAUG
RNAcentral lists this ribosomal RNA (701 nucleotides) under Susamyia mira. RNAcentral's name for it is "Oestroidea gen. sp. 1 AT-2020 SSU rRNA". It matches the Rfam family "Eukaryotic small subunit ribosomal RNA", at positions 638 to 1272 of the family's 1831-position model. Lineage: Eukaryota; Metazoa; Arthropoda; Insecta; Diptera; Tachinidae. The record is from RNAcentral.